GGAAGGAUCAGAGCCAUGGAGCCCCGAGCCCUUCUCCUACUGCUGUUCGGAGCCCUGGCACUGACCAAUACCUGGGCUGGUUCCCAUUCUCUAAAGUUUCUCAUCACUGCCAUGUCGCGACCCCUCCGCGGGGAGCCUCACAUCAUCGAAAUCGGCUACGUAGACGACACGCCAUUCUUGCGAUUUGAGUCACCUCCAGUCGUCUGAAGCGAGGGCGGGAGUAGGUGGGGGGAACCUAAUCGUGGGACGGGAUCAGUGUCUCACACCUUCCAGAGGGUGUACGGGUGCGACGUGGGACCAGACUGGCGCCUCCUCCGUGGGCACUGGCAGUACGCCUAUGACGGCACCGAUUACAUUGCUCUGAAUGAGGACCUACGCUCCUGGACCGUGGCAGACAMGGCAGCUCAGAUCACCCAGCGCAAGUGGGAGGCCGAGGGAGUGACGGAGACAAACAGGGCCUUCCUGGAAUGGGAGUGCGUGGAGACACUCCGCAAGCACCUGGAGAACGGGAAGGAGACGCUGCAGCGCGCAGAUCUCCCAUUGACAUAUGUCACCCACCACCCCAUCUCUGACCAUGAGGUCACCCUGAGGUGCUGGGCUCUGGGGUUCUACCCUGCGGAGAUCACCCUCACUUGGCAACGGGAUGGGGAGGACCAAACCCAGGAAAUGGAGCUUGUGGAGACCAGGCCUGCAGGGGAUGGAAAAUUCCAGAAAUGGGCAGCUGUGGUGGUAUCUUCUGGAGAAGAGCAGAGAUACACGUGCCAUGUGCAGCAUGAGGGGUUGCCUGAGCCCCUCAUCCUGAAAUGGGAGAGGUCUCCCCAGUUCUCCAUCACCUUUGUGGUAAUGGUUGCUGGYCUGGUUCUCCUUGGAGCUGUUGCUGCUGUUAUGAUGUGGAGGAAGAAGAACUCAGGUAGGGUAAGGGGGACUAUGACUGUUCUUGUUAGUUGUAGAAGUUUUGAUCUCAUUCUUCUAUGA
This is a non-coding RNA of Urocitellus parryii (Arctic ground squirrel), 975 nucleotides long. The record is from RefSeq and is a predicted model, not a curated record. NCBI's taxonomy places the organism in Eukaryota, Metazoa, Chordata, Mammalia, Rodentia, Sciuridae.